This 410-nucleotide ribosomal RNA is filed under the name uncultured bacterium. RNAcentral's name for it is "bacterial SSU rRNA". It matches the Rfam family "Bacterial small subunit ribosomal RNA", at positions 8 to 422 of the family's 1533-position model. The record is from RNAcentral.
AGAGUUUGAUCCUGGCUCAGAUUGAACGCUGGCGGCAUGCCUUACACAUGCAAGUCGAACGGUAACAGCACUUCGGUGGCUGACGAGUGGCGAACGGGUGAGUAAUACAUCGGAACGUGCCCGAGAGUGGGGGAUAACGCAGCGAAAGCUGUGCUAAUACCGCAUACGAUCUACGGAUGAAAGCAGGGGACCGCAAGGCCUUGCGCUCACGGAGCGGCCGAUGGCAGAUUAGGUAGUUGGUGGGAUAAAAGCUUACCAAGCCGACGAUCUGUAGCUGGUCUGAGAGGACGACCAGCCACACUGGGACUGAGACACGGCCCAGACUCCUACGGGAGGCAGCAGUGGGGAAUUUUGGACAAUGGGCGAAAGCCUGAUCCAGCCAUGCCGCGUGCAGGAUGAAGGCCUUCGGG